UAUGAAGAAGGCCUUCAGGUUGUAAAGUACUUGCAGCGGGGAGGAAGGGAGUAAAGUUAAUACCUUGGCUCAUUGACGUUACCCGAAGAAGAAGCACCGGCUAACUCCGUGCCAGCAGCCGCGGUAAUACGGAGGGUGCAAGCGUUAAUCGGAAUUACUGGGCGUAAAGCACACGCAGGCGGUUUGUUAAGUCAGAUGUGAAAUCCCCGAGCUCAACCUGGGAACUGAAUCUGA
Molecule: ribosomal RNA, 234 nt
Filed under: Escherichia coli
Lineage: Bacteria; Pseudomonadati; Pseudomonadota; Gammaproteobacteria; Enterobacterales; Enterobacteriaceae
Description: partial 16S ribosomal RNA
Rfam family: Bacterial small subunit ribosomal RNA
Source: RNAcentral